GUGCCCACUUUGGCAGCACAUAUACUAAAAUUGGAGCAAUGUAGAAAAGAUUAACAUGGCCCCUGUGCAAGGAUGACACAGAUUCAUGAAGUGUCCCAUAGUUUU
Small nuclear RNA from Heterocephalus glaber (naked mole-rat), 105 nucleotides. The record is from Ensembl. Lineage: Eukaryota; Metazoa; Chordata; Mammalia; Rodentia; Bathyergidae.